UACAUAUAACAAAAUGGAUAUCGUGCUUCUGGAUUUUUUCCACGGCAGUAAUACUUUUUUAAGUUUAUUAAGCAUAUUUUUCAAGAUGAAAGCAAUACUUGAACAUUUGAAAUAAUGGAUAUUAUAGGAGAACCUCAGGAGAUAACAUGAAAUAAAUGAGUAGUAUUCAAAGUUAUGGGUGCAUUUCCAUCCUGGUUUCUCAUAUAUUUUAAUGCAAGGGUUGUUUUGCUUGUGUCAUGGCACCAGGAGAUUUUAUCCAUUACUUUAGCCUCCCUAGUCCCUUCUGAAUGUGCAGCAGGUGGGAAUCAUAGCAGAGUGAAGAAUCAUAAGCUUAUUCUAUUAAUAGAGACACUGGAGUGGGCUCUGCCCCUUGUCAAGUCUAAUGAUAAAAAGGACACCCGUGGUCCCCAGAACAGCCCUGCCCUCUCAGCACCUUCCAGGACUGUGGGGCUGAGAGCCUGGGAACCACACUUCCAGGACUCCCCUGCCUGCAGGACUUGUGUGAGAUGCAGCUACUGUGAGGUUGCAAUGACAGCCGGAAGGCAGAAGUGGGGGAGGAGCCACGAUCUCCUCCCAUGGCAGCCACAGGUGUCACCAAGUGGCAGAUAUGGGGCUGUGCCAACAGCUUCCAGGGUUCAUCCCAGCUACCACUCAUGUACCCACUGCCAGCUGCUGAGACAGUCUCUGAUCUCCUGGAGAGCAGCUCUCUGAGCCUGCCCAGAGCCCCUAGAAGUCAGCAGCACCUCCUGAGCCCAGCCUCCUGCCCAGCUCUUCCUCCUAGUUUCCUGAAUCCACUCCUUUCUGAUUAAAACUCCUGGAUGGUUGCUCUGUCCCUAACUCCUGGCUGAUGAGCCUUCCAAAUCCAGGCCUCUGGUGUCUCACCAGAAAAAGACAAGUGGGAUGGGACCAGCAUUGCAGCACAGUGGGUUAAGCCUCAGCCUGUGGAUGCCAGCAUCCCAUAUGAGCAUUGGUCUGAGUCCCAGGUGCUCCAUUUCCAAUCCAGCUCCCUGCUAAUGUACCUGAGAAGGCAGCAGGUGGUGGCCAAGUGCUUGGGCCCCUGCUGCCAUGUGGGAGACCUGGAUGGAGUUCCCAUCUCCUGCUUCAGCCUGGCCCAGCUGGCUAUUUGAGGAGUGAACCAGUGGAUGGAAGAUUGCUUCUUAUCUCUCCCUCUAUCUAUCUGUCACUCUGCUUUUCAUAUGGAGUCCCAGGAGGGCCAGGCCCAGCCACCAGACUGGAUUGCUGGGCUCUGAGCAUGGAGUCCCAUCGGCUCCAACUUAUGAGCCUCCAGUGGUAGCAACACCUGGCUGAGCAAUGGUGUUUAUGACUGGAGUCUAACUCCUAAUCUGUGUGCUUCAAGGGUGUUCCUCAUGGCUGAAAUUUAAACACAAAACAUUGAUUUUGCUAUUUUCCAAACACGUGAAUUAUUUAAGCACCAUGGGGCUAUACCUAGAACUAGAGCAAAAGACUCCCUCUCAUUUCUUCCAGAAGCUUCCUCCCCACUGUGCCAGGGAGAGAACAGUGCAGAAAGAUGGCUGGGUCAUGAUGUGCCACAAGUACCAUCAAUGCCACCUUCAGCUCCUCGUGAACAACCAUGAGGAGCUUCAUCUGUCCCAGAGCUACUGGGCAUUGUGCCCUCUGCACCACAUGGAGCUUAGAGUGGACUGAGACCCAGGGAGGCCAGCAUCUCUGAUGAGAUGUGUAGGCUCCAGCGUGUGUCCGGACAGGAGAGAACACGUACGGUGAUGGGAGACAUACUUUGUUAGUUACAAUCCUUCUGCUGCCUUCUGCGAAAAAUAUACUCCCAAAGACUCCAUUGGUCUUUUUUUUAAGAUUUUUAUUUAUCUAUUUGACAGAGUCACAGAGAGAGAGAGAGAGAGAGAAAGAGAGAGAGAGAGAAAGGUCUUCACUUCCCAAGUGGUCGCAACAGCUGGAGCUGCACCGGUCUGAAGCCAGGAGCCAGGUGCCUUUUCCCAGUCUCCCAUGUGGGUGCAGGGGCCCAAGAACUUGGGCCAUCCUCCACUGCUUUUACAGGCCACAGCAGAGAGCUGGACUGGAAGAGGAGCAACUGGGACUAGAACCCGGCACCCAUAUGGGAUGCCGGUGCUGCAGGUGGAGGAUUAACUUAGUGAGCCAUGGCGCCAGCCCCAAAGACCCCACUGUUAACUGAAAGGAUAUUGUGUGUGAGGACCCAAGAUUGCAGAAACCAGAGAAUAAGAGGAGCUGCAGGGAGGGCGAAAAAAGGCCAAUUUGAACAGCAUCUCCAGGGACCACGCCCCUCCGUGGGCUUGCAGAAACACAAGCAAAGAAUGCAGAUUAGGCUAAUCAGCCCUGUCAGGAAUCAGAAGAGCCCUUCUGAAGCCGAUGUCAGCCUGUUCCUCAGCACCAACCACCCCCCACCACCACCUCUGCUUUGGACCAGAGCCGGGCACUUCACCGAGGCUGAAGGGGGGCUGGCAAAGGCUAAACUGGCAGCAGGCAGCAUUUCCAGCAUGCAGUCUCUCCCAUGAAGGUGGAGAAGGAACUCCUUCCCGCAGCGGCCCAACUUCCGGGAGCCAGGGGCGACUCCAGCAGAAACCACGACCUCGUGCGGAGGACAUGCUGGAGAAGCCCCCAGGGCCCUGGUGCACUGGAUUCUUCCUGUGAGAACCUCAUUCCUCUCUGUUCCGUGUCUCCCAGUCCACCUCCUGCCUCCGAGUCCCCUCCACACGGGGACUGCAGGGGACAGCGUCCAUGGAGCUGCUGGGAACUGCACGUCCACACCUGUAUCCAGGCAUCUGUAGGGGGAGCUGCCAUGUUCUUGCCUGAUCCCUCCUACCUAGACCACUCUGGGCCAUUGAGACUCUUCCCUGGAACUGGGGUCUUAGAAGCCCAUUCAUUUUUAGUGGCUGAGAUCGCAGGCAGAAAGCUCAGGCACUGUCCAUGUCCAUCGUGGAGAACAGAGCCAAAGAAAGGAACGCAGGGAGCUGGUGCCCAGGGAAGAACAGGAACCAGAGGAGCUGAACAGAAGCAGAUGCUGCCAGGGACAUGGGCCACAAGAAAAGGGGGCUGGUGGAUCAACGGAGGUGACGUCGGCAGUGCAGACUGAGGAUGGUGAUUCGGGAGCUCCGACCAGACAGCACUGUCUCUGCAGGAAAAACCAAGCUGGAACUGGAAAGAUCAGUGCUGACUCUGCAUUUGUCUCCACUGUGAGAUACCAUGUCCAAUAUUGCCACGAUAAUUCAGCUGAUGGAAGUAAAAUGAUUCCAUCUCUUGACAACAGGUUUAUGACUCCUCUAUUUUUAAAAACAAGCUAAAUAUUUUAUUUCUUUCAAAGAAAAAUGUGAUUUUUUUUUUCCUUACCAGCCACAAUAACUUAAAUGAGUGACACCCUUCAGUGCAUAUAUGUAUCGUGUUUUUCUCUUUUUGAAUAGCUAAUACAUAUAUAUGACUGUCUUAGAAAACAGAGCACAGAGGGGUGGGUGGUAAAAAGUGAAUCUUCCCCUCUCCCACUCUGCAUUUAAAGCACUGAUACUGGGGUUGGCAUCCAGCACCAU
Molecule: non-coding RNA, 3533 nt
Organism: Oryctolagus cuniculus (rabbit)
Lineage: Eukaryota; Metazoa; Chordata; Mammalia; Lagomorpha; Leporidae
Source: RefSeq, a predicted model, not a curated record